This 253-nucleotide ribosomal RNA is filed under the name uncultured bacterium. RNAcentral describes it as "partial 16S ribosomal RNA". It matches the Rfam family "Bacterial small subunit ribosomal RNA", at positions 524 to 776 of the family's 1533-position model. The record is from RNAcentral.
GACAGAGGGUGCAAACGUUGUUCGGAAUUACUGGGCGUAAAGCGCGUGUAGGCGGCAGCGUGUGUCGGGCGUGAAAUCCCACGGCUCAACCGUGGAAGUGCACCCGAAACUGCGCAGCUAGAGUCCUGGAGAGGAAGGCGGAAUACUUGGUGUAGAGGUGAAAUUCGUAGAUAUCAAGUGGAACACCGGUGGCGAAGGCGGCCUUCUGGACAGUGACUGACGCUGAGGAGCGAAAGCCAGGGGAGCAAACGGG